UUUCGUUCCAUCGGCACAACAUUUGCUCAGGUCAAUCUACACCCCAUGGCCAUUAAAAGUUAUUCAAAUCAUGACGCUGCACCCCACGGUUUAGGUUCUAGGGGGCGCCAAAGAUAACCCUAAAAUCCACAUAUUUAAAAGUCUUAUAACUUUUUAUUUUUGUCCCCACUGGCCUCCAAGUUUUCUAGGAUGAUGCAAUGUCCAGCCAUCAACACAUUUGUGAAGGAAUUUUUACUCCCCAAAAGAGCGCCCCCCCCAUGGCAGGAGAAAAAAGUCCAUUUUUUCUUGUCCACUAAGGUGAAAAAACACAUUGUUGAGUGCUACGCCUGUAUGUUUUGUCA
This 341-nucleotide long non-coding RNA is filed under the name Xyrichtys novacula (pearly razorfish). Lineage: Eukaryota; Metazoa; Chordata; Actinopteri; Labriformes; Labridae. The record is from RNAcentral.